This 540-nucleotide long non-coding RNA is filed under the name Spirodela polyrhiza (greater duckweed). RNAcentral's name for it is "long non-coding RNA (SPOL_LNC000206)". Lineage: Eukaryota; Viridiplantae; Streptophyta; Magnoliopsida; Alismatales; Araceae. The record is from RNAcentral.
CGUAGUGGGACCGUCAGCCGUUGGAUCGGAUACCCGGCGCUCCCGCGGCCUCCCGAUCCUUCUCCCCGAGGAAGGCAAGGGUAAUAUGGACAUUGGGCCCAAGGGGGGAGGUAGCCGUUGGGAGAUGGUACACACCUGCCAGCUGGAUCUCGGAAGUGGGGCCCGCCCCUGCCAGGCUGACAGGCAAAAGACGAUUAGCGCUGGAAAGAAGGCGUUGCGCUGUACUGGGGCCCACGGUACGCUGUGGACGCUAGCUCCGUCCGCUGUCUUCUUUCUUGGGUUAAUUAUUCCGGUGCAAUUAUUUAUUCACCGGGGUCGGGGAAAGAGGAGGACCUUCGUGCCCGUCAGGCCUAUCCAUAUAUCCCCACCCCUUCUGCCUCUCUCUAAUCUCCGCAUCCGUAGAGCGAGGAAGAGUAGCUGAGAGAGAGGCAGGGAGGAGAGGGAGAGAGUGAGGGGCAGAGAGAGAGAGAGAGAGAGAGAGAGAGAGAAUGUCGAAGGAGGUGACAGUGGACGCGGAGCAGCAUGUGGCCAANNNNNNNN